ACUUCUUUUCCUCUUUCAGGUUCUGCCCUGAUGUUUCCUGGAAUAAUGCUGAGGACUGCCUUUCGGGUAGCCGCCCUAUUCAGUUCACUUCAUCUCGGAAAUACCUGACCCCUGCCUUGGAUCCAGCGGCCCUCCUGAGAGCUGAGGAAGGAGGAAAUCCUAUGUGUCUGCUCCCGGAGCUGCCACAACCCAUCUUCCCACAACUCGGAACUUGGAAAAAGGAACCCAGGACACGACUUUGCUUUUCUUUUGGACCUAGUUGGUGAUUAUACUCUGUCUCCCAUGGAGACCACGUCUUGCAUCCUUCCUUCUAUAUGGGAUUUAGGAUAGAAAUUAAAAAGAAAACAUAUUAUUUUGAGUCUUGAUUUGGAGAAAGGUAGUAUUCAGGAGGAAGUAGGCUAUGAUACACAUAGAAAAUUUGAGGACAGUGUUACUUAACAAGGACAUUUCUGUCUCUGCAGAAGUCACAGCUUGGAGGAAACCAGUUUGCACUAUUUGAUGAGGAAUUUGGCCACCAAACCACUGAUACUUUCCCAAAGAUACAAGUUAACAGGAUAUGCUUCUGGCCUGUUUCUGGAUUCUAAGGGUAGAACCAGCAUAAAACUAGUCAGUCCAAGUAUUUCUAAAGAUCCACAGACACAGUUCUCCUGGAUUUGGGAAGCCUAGAGAUAUUAGCACAAUAAUUAAGGCCCAACAACUUUUAAAAGCCUUUCCACUGCACAGUGAAAGAAAACCACAAACUCCUUGUUUAAUAAGUGGGAUCACGUGCUUUUAACACGAGGAAAAGGUCAAUCUGAAGCAACUGAUAU
This 809-nucleotide long non-coding RNA is filed under the name Homo sapiens (human). Its description in RNAcentral is "non-protein coding PRKCQ-AS1:48". Lineage: Eukaryota; Metazoa; Chordata; Mammalia; Primates; Hominidae. The record is from RNAcentral.